RNAcentral lists this ribosomal RNA (445 nucleotides) under uncultured bacterium. RNAcentral describes it as "bacterial SSU rRNA". It matches the Rfam family "Bacterial small subunit ribosomal RNA", at positions 330 to 792 of the family's 1533-position model. The record is from RNAcentral.
GCCAGACUCCUACGGGAGGCAGCAGUGGGGAAUAUUGCACAAUGGGGGAAACCCUGAUGCAGCGACGCCGCGUGAGUGAAGAAGUAUUUCGGUAUGUAAAGCUCUAUCAGCAGGGAAGAAAAUGACGGUACCUGACUAAGAAGCCCCGGCUAACUACGUGCCAGCAGCCGCGGUAAUACGUAGGGGGCAAGCGUUAUCCGGAUUUACUGGGUGUAAAGGGAGCGUAGACGGCAGCGCAAGUCUGAAGUGAAAUCCCAUGGCUUAACCAUGGAACUGCUUUGGAAACUGUGCAGCUGGAGUGUAGGAGAGGUAAGCGGAAUUCCUAGUGUAGCGGUGAAAUGCGUAGAUAUUAGGAGGAACACCAGUGGCGAAGGCGGCUUACUGGACUGUAACUGACGUUGAGGCUCGAAAGCGUGGGGAGCAAACAGGAUUAGAUACCCGCGUA